UAGAUGCACCACUCGUUUUAGGCUUAGCCUUGUGAGCAUUUUUCUUCUUCUUACCCUUGUUCUGGGCAGAAGAAGAACCUCGCUCAACAUUAAGCACAACAGGUGUAGCUCCUUGCUUAAUGAUAGUCUCAGCAGCCACCAGCUCAUUCAGCAACUUAGACAGAGUGAAAUCCAUCUUAUUCAUGUUAUAGUUCAAACGAAACUGCUGAAAACUGGCUGGCAAAGUG
RNAcentral lists this long non-coding RNA (227 nucleotides) under Jatropha curcas. RNAcentral describes it as "long non-coding RNA (JCUR_LNC000258)". The record is from RNAcentral. Lineage: Eukaryota; Viridiplantae; Streptophyta; Magnoliopsida; Malpighiales; Euphorbiaceae.